Molecule: ribosomal RNA, 2238 nt
Filed under: human gut metagenome
Description: bacterial LSU rRNA
Rfam family: Bacterial large subunit ribosomal RNA
Source: RNAcentral
AUCAACCGAGAUUCCGCUAGUAGUGGCGAGCGAACGCGGAAGAGGCCAAACCGGAGGAUUUUAUUCUCCGGGGUUGCGGACAGACAUCAUGACCAGAGAAAGUUAGGAGAACGGCGUGGGAAAGCCGGCCACAGAAGGUGAGAGCCCUGUAUCUGAAAAUGAAGACUGGCAGUCUGGAUCCAGAGUACCGCGGGACACGUGAAACCCCGUGGGAAACCGGGUGGACCACCAUCCAAGCCUAAAUACUACCUGAUGACCGAUAGAGGAGCAGUACCGUGAGGGAAAGGUGAAAAGGACCCCGGGAGGGGAGUGAAAGAGAACCUGAAACCUUGUGCUUACAAGCAGUCAAAGCACGUUAAAGUGUGAUGACGUACUUUUUGUAGAACGGUCCGGCGAGUUAUAGUAACGAGCAAGCUUAAGGUAUUGAGUACCGGAGGCGAAGCGAGAGCGAGUCUGAAUAGGGCGUAAAGUUCGUUGCCAUAGACCCGAAACCGGGUGACCUAUCCAUGAGCAGGCUGAAGUGAGAGUAAAAUCUCAUGGAGGGCCGAACCGACCCCCGUUGCAAUGGUGGCGGAUGACUUGUGGAUAGCGGAGAAAUUCCAAUCGAACUCGGAGAUAGCUGGUUCUCCCCGAAAUAGCUUUAGGGCUAGCCUCAUAUUAGAUACCCGGAGGUAAAGCACUGAAUGGCCUAGCGCCCGAGAGGGUAGCGAAGCCUAUCAAACUAAGAAUGCCGGAGUAUUGAUGUAUGGGAGUCAGACAGUGUGAGAUAAAUCUCAUUGUCAAAAGGGAAACAGCCCAGAUCUACAGCUAAGGUCCCAAAUUGUAUCUAAGUGGAAAACGAUGUGGAAAUACGCAGACAACCAGGAUGUUGGCUCAGAAGCAGCCACUCAUUUAAAGAGUGCGUAAUAGCUCACUGGUCGAGCGUCUCUGCGCGGAAAAUUUAACGGGGCUAAGAUACAAACCGAAGCUUAGGCUGCACGAAAGUGCGGGGUAGGGGAGCGUUGUGUAAGCGGAGAAACAGUAGCGUAAGCGGCUGUGGAGUUUACAGAAGUGAGAAUGCCGGAAUGAGUAGCGCGAAUGAUGUGAGAAUCAUCAUGGCCGGAAACCUCAGGUUUUUGGAGGAAGGUUCGUCCGCUCCAAGUUAGGCGGGAGCUAAGGUCAGGCCGAAAGGCGUAGCCGAUGCACAGACGGUAGAGAUUCCGUCCCCACCGAAAGAUUUAAGCACAGGGACACUUUUUGAAGGUCGGAGCCAGGUGUUGGUUCUGGUAGUGAUCGAGGGAAAUAUAGUACCGAAGUCCGGCUGGAUAAGAGGCGAGAAAAGCUGCGUGUAUAUCUAAGGUGCCCGUACCGCAAACCGACACAGGUAGGUAGGAAGAAGAUUCUAAGGCCAACGGGAGAAGGGUUGUUAAGGAACUCGGCAAAUUGACCCCGUAACUUCGGGAGAAGGGGUGCUCCAGAGAUGGAGCCGCAGAGAAUCGGCCCAAGCAACUGUUUACCAAAAACACAGGUUUGUGCUAAAUCGAAAGAUGACGUAUACGAGCUGACGCCUGCCCGGUGCUGGAAGGUUAAGAGGAGAUGUGCAAGCAUUGAAUCGAAGCCCCAGUGAACGGCGGCCGUAACUAUAACGGUCCUAAGGUAGCGAAAUUCCUUGUCAGGUAAGUUCUGACCCGCAUGAAAGGCGUAAUGAUUUGGGCACUGUCUCAACAGCCCGCCCGGCGAAAUUGUAGUACCGGUGAAGAUGCCGGUUACCCGCGACAAGACGGAAAGACCCCAUGGAGCUUUACUGUAGCCUAAUAUUGGGUUUCGAUGUUGCAUGCACAGGAUAGAUGGGACACAGGGAAACAAGUGCUUUGGCAUUUGUGGAGUGGCCGUUGGGAUACCAUCCUUGCGAUAUUGGAAUUCUAACCUGCGCCUUUGAAUCAAGGCGGGGGACAUUGUUAGGUGGGCAGUUUGACUGGGGCGGUCGCCUCCUAAAGAGUAACGGAGGCGUUCAAAGGUUCGCUCAGCUUGAACGGAAAUCAAGCAAAAGAGUGCAAACGCAGAAGCGAGCCUAACUGCGAGACUGACGGGUCGAGCAGUAACGAAAGUUGGAGUUAGUGAUCCGGUGGUAUGUGAGUGGAAAUGCCAUCGCUCAACGGAUAAAAGUUACCCUGGGGAUAACAGGCUGAUCUCCCCCAAGAGUCCACAUCGACGGGGAGGUUUGGCACCUCGAUGUCGGCUCAUCGCAUCCUGGGGCUG